CACCGCCCGUCACAUCACGAAAAGCCGGCUGUACCGGAAGUCGCUGUGCCAACCGCAAGGAGGCAGGUGCCCAUGGUAUGGUCGGUGAUUGGGGUG
This 96-nucleotide ribosomal RNA is filed under the name uncultured bacterium. RNAcentral's name for it is "partial 16S ribosomal RNA". It matches the Rfam family "Bacterial small subunit ribosomal RNA", at positions 1388 to 1482 of the family's 1533-position model. The record is from RNAcentral.